This 490-nucleotide ribosomal RNA is filed under the name uncultured bacterium. Its description in RNAcentral is "partial 16S ribosomal RNA". It matches the Rfam family "Bacterial small subunit ribosomal RNA", at positions 30 to 507 of the family's 1533-position model. The record is from RNAcentral.
AUUGAACGCUGGCGGCAGGCCUAACACAUGCAAGUCGAACGGUAACAGGAAGCAGCUUGCUGCUUUGCUGACGAGUGGCGGACGGGUGAGUAAUGUCUGGGAAACUGCCCGAUGGAGGGGGAUAACUACUGGAAACGGUAGCUAAUACCGCAUAACGUCGCAAGACCAAAGAGGGGGACCUUAGGGCCUCUUGCCAUCGGAUGUGCCCAGAUGGGAUUAGCUAGUAGGUGGGGUAACGGCUCACCUAGGCGACGAUCCCUAGCUGGACUGAGAGGAUGACCAGCCACACUGGAACUGAGACACGGUCCAGACUCCUACGGGAGGCAGCAGUGGGGAAUAUUGCACAAUGGGCGCAAGCCUGAUGCAGCCAUGCCGCGUGUAUGAAGAAGGCCUUCGGGUUGUAAAGUACUUUCAGCGGGGAGGAAGGGAGUAAAGUUAAUACCUUUGCUCAUUGACGUUACCCGCAGAAGAAGCACCGGCUAACUCCGUG